UAAAACUUUGAGCGGUGGAUCACUCGGCUCGUGCGUCGAUGAAGAGCGCAGCCAGCUGCGUGAAUUAAUGUGAAUUGCAGAACACA
This 86-nucleotide ribosomal RNA is filed under the name Herilla bosniensis rex. RNAcentral's name for it is "partial 5.8S ribosomal RNA". It matches the Rfam family "5.8S ribosomal RNA", at positions 1 to 83 of the family's 154-position model. From Rfam's summary of the family: 5.8S ribosomal RNA (5.8S rRNA) is a component of the large subunit of the eukaryotic ribosome. It is transcribed by RNA polymerase I as part of the 45S precursor that also contains 18S and 28S rRNA. The record is from RNAcentral. Lineage: Eukaryota; Metazoa; Mollusca; Gastropoda; Stylommatophora; Clausiliidae.